Molecule: long non-coding RNA, 1140 nt
Filed under: Homo sapiens (human)
Lineage: Eukaryota; Metazoa; Chordata; Mammalia; Primates; Hominidae
Description: estrogen receptor responsive lncRNA 1 (ERLNC1)
Source: RNAcentral
AGGCCAGCUCCCGUUCCAACACCUCUACCUUAGGGACAUCUGCAGAAAGGCUGGGCAGUGGCAAAAAAGGGGGCCUUGGAAAAAUGGCCAAUCUCUUAGACCCUCACUUUUAUCAUCUGUAAAAUGGCACUGAGGCGUCCUGUCCUUCUGACUCCUCUGGUUAUGCUAGGAAGCUGAUAAAGACAUGGGCGUCAAAGCAUGAGGCAGAGCAUAAAAGUCACUGACUGAGGGCAUCCCUGCUACUUUGUGAAAGGAACAGGAGGGUAAGGAAGGAGACACAGGGAAAGGACAAGGCAGGUGAGAACGAGUGUCCAGACCUGGGGAUUCCAGACUAAGAACAAGGGCAACAGGAGCAGUGGGGAGAGAUGCAAAACAGACCUGAUCUUAGGAUGCUGGGAAAACUCCCCAGGAGGCGGUGCAGCUCCCUAAGUCGAGCUGACUCCCACAAAGAUCCUCCCCAGGAGGAAGAGUAGUGCCCUGGCAGGGAGCUGGAGCAAUGGAGCUCUCUUGAGGAGGCAGAGGUAUGUCCUGGUAUGCACCCCCCUCUCACCCCAGCAGCUGACCAUGUCACAGGUAGAAGGGAUCAGAGAGACGGUCUGGUCUAACCUCUCAUCUCACAAACAGACCAUCGGCUCACAUGAGAAAGCAAACUAAGAGCUUCUUUAGCUCACUCCUACACUGUCAAAGGAACAUUAAAGCCUUCAAUGAAGAGCAUGCUUGCUUUGUGGCUCCCCAUUGACUCAUCCCUUCUACCUUGAGUUAUGAGGUAGCAAGAGCACAUAGAGAAGGAUGAGGAUGAGACCGGCCCUCUCUCACCUUCCCACAGGACAGACCGAUCACUCCCUCACCCAGCCCAGGGGCCAGAACACGAGAAAGAGUAUUCAGUGACUGAGGCACUCCUCUGCCCCCUCUGGAGAAGGAAGAGAGGACAGGGUCCCUUCCAGGCUUUGAGAAGGUCAAAGCUCAAGAAGAUCUGAGGUUAUCUAGUCCAGCCCCAUUGGGAAACUGAGGCUCAAGGAAGGAAAGAGCCUCCCUCCAAGCCUCCAGAUACCUCUUGCACUGCUGGAUCCUUUACUUCUUCAUUUAAGGAAAGCAGUCCUUGGCCCGUCCAAGGAUCCAAAUCGAAAAAAAAAAAAAAAA